CUGAGUAUGCGGUCUUCGGACCCGCUACCCGCCCUUUGUCAUUUGCUGGACGAGGUCGCUUUCGGGCGGCCUCCGACCACACUUCCCGGGAAGCGUUGUUGCCCCCCCCAUCAGGCUAGUCCUGGGGGGGGUAGGACCGCCCGGGGUCUUUUCUCAAACCCUUGCGAGAAUCUGAAGUCUGAAUGAAAAAUAAAUGAAGCA
RNAcentral lists this unclassified non-coding RNA (201 nucleotides) under uncultured Ascomycota. Its description in RNAcentral is "sequence contains ITS1". The record is from RNAcentral. Lineage: Eukaryota; Fungi; Ascomycota.